CAGCUUGACAAUAACUGCCUGCGAGCGG
Molecule: non-coding RNA, 28 nt
Filed under: Bombyx mori (domestic silkworm)
Lineage: Eukaryota; Metazoa; Arthropoda; Insecta; Lepidoptera; Bombycidae
Source: RNAcentral